GCGGGUGUAGCUCAGUGGUAGAGCGCAACCUUGCCAAGGUUGAAGUCGCGAGUUCGACUCUCGUCACCCGCUCCA
This 75-nucleotide transfer RNA is filed under the name Rickettsiales bacterium. RNAcentral describes it as "tRNA-Gly". It matches the Rfam family "tRNA". Rfam says of the family: Transfer RNA (tRNA) molecules are approximately 80 nucleotides in length. The record is from RNAcentral. Lineage: Bacteria; Pseudomonadati; Pseudomonadota; Alphaproteobacteria; Rickettsiales.